Molecule: transfer RNA, 79 nt
Filed under: Helianthus annuus (common sunflower)
Lineage: Eukaryota; Viridiplantae; Streptophyta; Magnoliopsida; Asterales; Asteraceae
Description: tRNA-Val
Rfam family: tRNA
About the family: Transfer RNA (tRNA) molecules are approximately 80 nucleotides in length. Their secondary structure includes four short double-helical elements and three loops (D, anti-codon, and T loops).
Source: RNAcentral
UGUUUCUGUGGUGUAGUGGUUAUCACGUUUGCUUUACACGCAAAAGGUCUCCGGUUCGAUCCCGGGCAGGAACAUCUAG